This 442-nucleotide ribosomal RNA is filed under the name uncultured bacterium. RNAcentral describes it as "partial 16S ribosomal RNA". It matches the Rfam family "Bacterial small subunit ribosomal RNA", at positions 338 to 795 of the family's 1533-position model. The record is from RNAcentral.
CCUACGGGUGGCAGCAGUAGGGAAUCUUUCACAAUGGGCGAAAGCCUGAUGGAGCAACGCCGCGUGCAGGAUGAAGGCCUUCGGGUUGUAAACUGCUUUUAUAAGCGAGAAAUAUGAUGGUAACUUAUGAAUAAGGAUCGGCUAACUACGUGCCAGCAGCCGCGGUCAUACGUAGGAUCCGAGCAUUAUCCGGAGUGACUGGGUGUAAAGAGUUGCGUAGGUGGCAUAAUAAGUAGCUAGUGAAAUCUGGUGGCUCAACCAUUCAGACUAUUAGCUAAACUGUUAAGCUCGAGACCGUUAGAGGUAACUGGAAUUUCUAGUGUAGGAGUGAAAUCCGUAGAUAUUAGAAGGAACACCAGUAGCGUAGGCAGGUUGCUGGGACGGUUCUGACACUAAGGCACGAAAGCGUAGGGAGCAAACGGGAUUAGAUACCCGUGUAGUC